Long non-coding RNA from Scleropages formosus (Asian bonytongue), 290 nucleotides. RefSeq lists it as uncharacterized. The record is from RefSeq and is a predicted model, not a curated record. The transcript is spliced from 3 exons. NCBI's taxonomy places the organism in Eukaryota, Metazoa, Chordata, Actinopteri, Osteoglossiformes, Osteoglossidae.
CUGAGCCCCUCCUUUUCUCCAGAUUGCAGCUUGUAUACAGAGGGGUGCAACUCUAACUUGAAGAUCUGGAGAACACUAAAGGACAACAAAAACUAUAUGUAAAUUAAACAAAAAUGAAGUGGUUCUGAAGGAUAGCUUAAAAAUCAAUUAAACCACAUUUCACUACAGUAUCUCAGAUUAUGGGGAAAAAGAAGAGAAUAAGAAAAAGGAUUGGUUACCAUGAGGGUUGAACCAAAAGGCAGACAGGAAGAGAGGGUCGCAGGGAGCCAGAGCCUAACCCAGCAACACAA